This 497-nucleotide ribosomal RNA is filed under the name uncultured bacterium. Its description in RNAcentral is "partial 16S ribosomal RNA". It matches the Rfam family "Bacterial small subunit ribosomal RNA", at positions 28 to 507 of the family's 1533-position model. The record is from RNAcentral.
GAUGAACGCUGGCGGCGUGCCUAAUACAUGCAAGUCGAGCGAACAGACGAGGAGCUUGCUCCUCUGACGUUAGCGGCGGACGGGUGAGUAACACGUGGAUAACCUACCUAUAAGACUGGGAUAAAUUCGGGAAACCGGAGCUAAUACCGGAUAAUAUAUUGAACCGCAUGGUUCAAUAGUGAAAGACGGUUUUGCUGUCACUUAUAGAUGGAUCCGCGCCGCAUUAGCUAGUUGGUAAGGUAACGGCUUACCAAGGCGACGAUGCGUAGCCGACCUGAGAGGGUGAUCGGCCACACUGGAACUGAGACACGGUCCAGACUCCUACGGGAGGCAGCAGUAGGGAAUCUUCCGCAAUGGUCGAAAGCCUGACGGAGCAACGCCGCGUGAGUGAUGAAGGUCUUCGGAUCGUAAAACUCUGUUAUUAGGGAAGAACAAAUGUGUAAGUAACUAUGCACGUCUUGACGGUACCUAAUCAGAAAGCCACGGCUAACUACGUG